GGCUCAGACACCAAAAAGAUUCAAUUUGGGGUAGUAGAGAGGAGGGGGAACAAGGACCUCACGCAAGAACUGACCUAAACGCUGAGGAGACGGUACUGCCAAUGGAUGACUCUGAAUGAUGUACCAGAAGGACGUUUUAAAUGACCUGCAGUAAACUCUCAAAGGACUGGGCAUCCCAGACAUAUUCUCAAACAGAGAACAUUUCCAGGAACGAGUACUUCUGACACCCGUUAUUAGAACCAGAUUGUCAACUACGUAUGCUUGGGUGAACCUGGCUGGAGCACUCGCAAAAAAGGUGCAAAGAUCUGCAACACAAGUUCUUCAGAGGCUGCCUGAGAAGAUCCUCAUCUGGAAGGCGACAAGGAAUUUCAAGAGCAAGCAAAACUAACUCUCCAGGCCAAACCUGAACAUCCUUAACUUCAGAGUACUUACAAUUUAUAUCAAAACCUGGGAAAGUAGAUACCUGUCUGAUGAAAGCUCAUUGAAGACAGCGUAGGCUAUAACGUGAUUUAUUUUCUACCUGCAAGGAAUAGUGUGUUUGAAGAGACCGAGUGCUUGAGACUAUUUUGAGCAGCAGAUGUUCUGGGUGCUGUAAUCAGGAGGAUGUGAAAAUGUUUGUCUCAGGAGCACAUGAUAAGCUGUGCUUGUGCCUUCAGCUGAAGCCAGAUGGCAUCUUUCUUGAGCGAAUGAAUAUUAGGUGUAAUUUGUUCUUGGGUAUUUUGGGGGAAUCUGGUUUGCUUUGAAUUUAUAUCCUUCCAAGUACAUUUCAGCAUGGAAAAUGGUGUUUUGAAGUGAGCUAACUCAAUUUUCUACCUUGAA
This is a long non-coding RNA of Struthio camelus australis, 819 nucleotides long. RefSeq lists it as uncharacterized. NCBI's taxonomy places the organism in Eukaryota, Metazoa, Chordata, Aves, Struthioniformes, Struthionidae. The record is from RefSeq and is a predicted model, not a curated record.